AUGUGUGAUUAGUGGCGCACGGGUGAGUAUAUACAUAGCAUAUACAUCACCCUAUUAGUGCUGGAGAUAGCCACUGGAAAUCGGUGAUUAGAUACUUGGAUACUUCCCUAGCGGGCGGUACACAGUUUUUCGUCUAGAAGCGAUUGUGUCCUAUGUCCUAUCAGUCUUGUUGGCUCGAUGGUAAUGGCUCACACACAGGUUAUGACGGGUAUCCGACACUGACGAUGGGUGAACGGACACACUGGAAACUGAGACACUGGUCCAGACUCCUACGGGUAGGCAGCAGUAGGGAAUAUUGCUCAAUGGGGGAAACCCUGAAGCAGCUACGCCGCGUGGAGGAUGAAGUGUUAUAGGAUAUGUAAACUCCGUUUUGUUAGAGU
RNAcentral lists this ribosomal RNA (380 nucleotides) under uncultured Helicobacter sp. Its description in RNAcentral is "bacterial SSU rRNA". It matches the Rfam family "Bacterial small subunit ribosomal RNA", at positions 84 to 446 of the family's 1533-position model. Lineage: Bacteria; Pseudomonadati; Campylobacterota; Epsilonproteobacteria; Campylobacterales; Helicobacteraceae. The record is from RNAcentral.